AUCAUUGAGUAAAUAGUUUAAUUGGUCCCUAGAGGGGUUUCGGGGACGAUUAUGAGCGGAGGAUAAUUCGUAUGAGGAAAAUACGACGACGGUAAAAUGGUAAAUUUUAGCUAGUAAAAGGUAAUUUUUAUUCGGGUAUUAUUUUUCGGGGUGUUGAAUUUUGGAAUUUUGAGUUAAAAGGAUUGUUGGGUCGGCUGGGCCGAGCCCAACCCAUUUCUUCUUCUUUUCUCUUCUCCCUCUCUCCCGAUUCUCUCUCCUCCCACCCGUUUUUCUUCUCUUUACACCCAGCAGACUUCCGGCCGUCCUCCCGCCGCCGUCCGGCCACCAACCGCCGCCGCACCGGUCCCAAUCGAACGACCUCCAACCCAGCAACGUCCCUGGACCGGUGAGAGGAGCCCUAGCUCCGCCGUGAGAGAGCGGUCAACCCCGAAAGGUUCGACUGCCGGAAUGGGUUUUUCGCCGGAGCUCCGUCUUCCGGCCACCAUAGGCCGUGAUUUUUGGCUCAACUUGUAGCCCUCAUCUAGGUGAGUAAUCCCUCAAAAGGUUUCGGCUUAAUUCGAUUUCGUUAGGGUGGUUUGUAUAAUUGAAAGUUUUGGGGAUUUUUGGUUGUUUGUGUUCGAUCGACAUGGUUAGGCUUAGAAUUGGAGUUUGUGUUGGUCAUGAAAGUUGUAGAGGAGAUUGAGAGGAAGAUUCUGUUAAAAUUUGGUAGCAUUUGCAGGUUGCCGGAAUUGACCUCCGGCCGCCGCUGCCGGCGGAGCCGCCGGCGGCGCCGCCGCCGGUUGGGAGAUUUUAAUGUUGUUAAAUUUGGAAUAUUAAGGGGAGUUUAUUGAAGUGAGUUAUGGAAUUUUUGGAUGAGUUUUGGAUAGGUUUAUGAAUUUCCGAAGUGUGGUAUUUUUGGCGGGUAAUUAAUGUAGAAUCCGGCCGUUGGAUUUAAGUCGUAUUUUGGAGAGGUUGUAUUUACGACUGUGGAGUAUGAUAUUUAAGUUCGGAUCGUCCGAUGUAAGAAUAUCGAAGUUAGGCAAUAAUGAGCGUAAUUAUGGCUCUCGGGUAAUUUUGCCUAUUUUGAUUAAAUAUUGGAUUAUUGGUUGGGAAUUAAUAUUAUAUUUGGAACAGGACGUGAAGAGGCUCGAGCAGACGAGACCCCAGAUUGACAUCAGGCUUAGGCCUAAUUCGUGAGUGGACGUUUAUUU
Molecule: long non-coding RNA, 1190 nt
Filed under: Fragaria vesca (wild strawberry)
Lineage: Eukaryota; Viridiplantae; Streptophyta; Magnoliopsida; Rosales; Rosaceae
Description: long non-coding RNA (FVES_LNC004647)
Source: RNAcentral